This 497-nucleotide ribosomal RNA is filed under the name uncultured bacterium. RNAcentral describes it as "partial 16S ribosomal RNA". It matches the Rfam family "Bacterial small subunit ribosomal RNA", at positions 28 to 507 of the family's 1533-position model. The record is from RNAcentral.
GACGAACGCUGGCGGCGUGCCUAAUACAUGCAAGUAGAACGCUGAAGCUUGGUGCUUGCACCGAGCGGAUGAGUUGCGAACGGGUGAGUAACGCGUAUGUAACCUGCCUGGUAGCGGGGGAUAACUAUUGGAAACGAUAGCUAAUACCGCAUAAGAGUAGAUUUUGCAUGACAUUUGCUUAAAAGGUGCAAUUGCAUCACUACCAGAUGGACCUGCGUUGUAUUAGCUAGUUGGUGAGGUAACGGCUCACCAAGGCAACGAUACAUAGCCGACCUGAGAGGGUGAUCGGCCACACUGGGACUGAGACACGGCCCAGACUCCUACGGGAGGCAGCAGUAGGGAAUCUUCGGCAAUGGACGGAAGUCUGACCGAGCAACGCCGCGUGAGUGAAGAAGGUUUUCGGAUCGUAAAGCUCUGUUGUAAGAGAAGAACGAGUGUGAGAGUGGAAAGUUCACACUGUGACGGUAUCUUACCAGAAAGGGACGGCUAACUACGUG